RNAcentral lists this ribosomal RNA (497 nucleotides) under uncultured bacterium. Its description in RNAcentral is "partial 16S ribosomal RNA". It matches the Rfam family "Bacterial small subunit ribosomal RNA", at positions 28 to 507 of the family's 1533-position model. The record is from RNAcentral.
GACGAACGCUGGCGGCGUGCCUAAUACAUGCAAGUUGAGCGCUGAAGGUUGGUACUUGUACCAACUGGAUGAGCAGCGAACGGGUGAGUAACGCGUGGGGAAUCUGCCUUUGAGCGGGGGACAACAUUUGGAAACGAAUGCUAAUACCGCAUAAAAACUUUAAACACAAGUUUUAAGUUUGAAAGAUGCAAUUGCAUCACUCUAAGAUGAUCCCGCGUUGUAUUAGCUAGUUGGUGAGGUAAAGGCUCACCAAGGCGAUGAUACAUAGCCGACCUGAGAGGGUGAUCGGCCACAUUGGGAAUGAGACACGGCCCCAACUCCUGCGGGAGGCAGCAGUAGGGAAUCUUCGGCAAUGGACGAAAGUCUGACCGAGCAACGCCGCGUGAGUGAAGAAGGUUUUCGGAUCGUAAAACUCUGUUGGUAGAGAAGAACGUUGGUGAGAGUGGAAAGCUCAUCAAGUGACGGUAACUACCCAGAAAGGGACGGCUAACUACGUG